Molecule: transfer RNA, 75 nt
Filed under: Candidatus Pacearchaeota archaeon
Lineage: Archaea; Nanobdellati
Description: tRNA-Asn
Rfam family: tRNA
About the family: Transfer RNA (tRNA) molecules are approximately 80 nucleotides in length.
Source: RNAcentral
GUCCCCGUAGCUCAGUCCGGCUAGAGCAUUCGGCUGUUAACCGAAGGGUCGCUGGUUCGAGUCCAGCCGGGGACG